CUAACACAUGCAAGUCGAACGGCAGCACAGAGGAGCUUGCUCCUUGGGUGGCGAGUGGCGGACGGGUGAGGAAUACAUCGGAAUCUACUCUGUCGUGGGGGAUAACGUAGGGAAACUUACGCUAAUACCGCAUACAGACCUACGGGUGAAAGCAGGGGAUCUUCGAGACCUUGCGCAGAUUAGAAUAGAAGCCGAUGUCAGGAUUAGCUAGUUGGCGGGGUAAAGGCCCACCAAGGACGACAGAUCCGUAGACUGGUCUGAGAGGAUGAUCAGCCACACUGGAACUAGAGACACGGUACCAGACUCACUAACGGGAGAGCAGACAGUGGGGAAUAUAUAGGACAAUGGGCGCAAGCCUGAUCCAGACCAUACCGCGUAGGGUAGAAGAAGGCCUUACAGGGGUAUGNAAACAAGCCCUAUAAAGCUAAAGGAGAACGAGAAAAUUACCAAGCAUGGCUAAUUAACCCGCGAGUAGGGAUAGAACGAGUAACCCCCAACAAG
This 501-nucleotide ribosomal RNA is filed under the name uncultured bacterium. RNAcentral's name for it is "bacterial SSU rRNA". The stretch from base 1 to 375 matches the Rfam family "Bacterial small subunit ribosomal RNA", at positions 48 to 400 of the family's 1533-position model. The record is from RNAcentral.